GAUGAACGCUGGCGGCGUGCCUAAUACAUGCAAGUCGAGCGAACAGACGAGGAGCUUGCUCCUCUGACGUUAGCGGCGGACGGGGGAGUAACACGUGGAUAACCUACCUAUAAGACUGGGAUAACUUCGGGAAACCGGAGCUAAUACCGGAUAACAUGUUGAACCGCAUGGUUCAACAGUGAAAGACGGUCUUGCUGUCACUGAUAGAUGGAUCCGCGCCGCAUUAGCUAGUUGGUAAGGUAACGGCUUACCAAGGCAACGAUGCGUAGCCGACCUGAGAGGGUGAUCGGCCACACUGGAACUGAGACACGGUCCAGACUCCUACGGGAGGCAGCAGUAGGGAAUCUUCCGCAAUGGGCGAAAGCCUGACGGAGCAACGCCGCGUGAGUGAAGAAGGUCUUCGGAUCGUAAAACUCUGUUAUUAGGGAAGAACAAAUGUGUAAGUAACUAUGCACGUCUUGACGGUACCUAAUCAGAAAGCCACGGCUAACUACGUG
Molecule: ribosomal RNA, 497 nt
Filed under: uncultured bacterium
Lineage: Bacteria
Description: partial 16S ribosomal RNA
Rfam family: Bacterial small subunit ribosomal RNA
Source: RNAcentral